RNAcentral lists this ribosomal RNA (673 nucleotides) under Eriosoma lanigerum (woolly apple aphid). RNAcentral's name for it is "partial 16S large subunit ribosomal RNA". The record is from RNAcentral. Lineage: Eukaryota; Metazoa; Arthropoda; Insecta; Hemiptera; Aphididae.
UUUAAAAAUAAUUUAUUUAUUUAUUGUUUUAGUAUUAAGUAAAAAUUAAUUUUAAGAUUUAUAGUUAAUUAGUAUUGUAAAAGAAUUUAUUUAAAUUAUAAAAAGAAUUUUAAUAGUACCUUUUGUAUCAGGGUUGAUUAAAAAUUUUUAAUUAUUUUAAAUUUCUCAAAAUUUAUGGAGUUAAUUUUAUUAUAAAUUUAUUGUGGUAUAAAUAUUUAUUAAAUAAUAUUAGUUUUGAAAUUUAACUCGUUAUAAAAUAUUUAGUUAUUUAAGAUUUAAAUUUAAUUUAAAAAUUUAAAAGUUUAAUUAUUUUAGAUAAAUAAUAUAAUUUUAAAUUUAAAUUAUUUUAGGGAUAAGCUUGAAAUUUAUAUAUAAUUUUUUUUUUUUUAAUAAUAUAUAGGAAUAGAAAUUUUUAUUUUAAGUUUGUAAAAAUUUAUUAUUUUUAAAUAUUUUAUUUAUUAUAAAUUAAAAUUUAUUUUUAAUAUUAAUUUAUAUUAAUUAAUAAAUAAUUAAUAGUAAUAAUGAUUAAAUUAGUAUAAUAUGUAAUUAUAAAUUAUGAAUUCGGCAAAUAAUAUUUUCAUCUGUUUAACAAAAACAUUGUAUUAAGUUUUAUUUAAUAUAGGAUCUGCUCAAUGAUUUUAUUAAAUAGCUGCAGUAUUUUGACUGUGCAAAG